This 2409-nucleotide long non-coding RNA is filed under the name Glycine max (soybean). RNAcentral's name for it is "long non-coding RNA (GMAX_LNC000078)". The record is from RNAcentral. Lineage: Eukaryota; Viridiplantae; Streptophyta; Magnoliopsida; Fabales; Fabaceae.
UUCACCAAAUUUUAUGAAAUUGCCAAAAGUUCUUUUAUUGAAAACAAAAACCAAUGCUUAUGGUGUAUCUGAACAAAAAGAUAAAAAUAGACAUGGGCCUUCUAAACAGUUUGGACCAAAAUUACAAUAAAUAAAAAUUAUUAAUAAAAAUAGAACAUAUUUGGUAUGGGCCUUCAAAUUAAUCUUGGGCUUCAACAACGAUUAAUAUGUUUAGUGGUGCCUCUACUUCUGGGCCUUCAUCCUUCUCCACUUGGACCUUAUUAAGUAUGUCUGCUACCAUUUGGUGGAGGGUAUCCACUGACUGCUUGGUCUUACUCCUCGUCAUAGGUCCCUGUAUUUGAACAGUUUCAGGAUUCUUAUCAGUUAAGUAUGAAUCCACUUAUCAUUGUAUAUAUUAAGGUUUUAUUAUUUUUGGGCCUUGCAUUUAGGACUCCAAAAUGUAGGUAAAUUACCCUAAAAAUGUAAGAUUUUUCAGCCCUUGUAUUUUAGGGCACCUAGACUAGUUUUUGUAUUAGGGGUAGUUUUAUAAUUUCAAAUGCAUUAAGUGAAUAUAUGAUGUGUGUGUUAGGGAAUAAAUUUAAUUGAAUUGGGAGAAGCCCAAUCCAAUUAAAUUUUAGAGGGGAGGUGAGCAUUUGCUUGCUACACCUUAUUGUCACAUCAUAUAGUCACAUUUUGUGUAUGUCCUCCAUGCUUUACAUGCCUCAUGACACCUAAGUAUACUUAGGGGAGAAUUUUGGACUUGAUAUUGGAUUAGUGAACUGAACCAUAGCUAAAAUUUACUAAUCAUAAUUAGUGAAAUUUUGGCUCCAAAAUUUGGCUCCACAAAUUCAAUUUCAAAUUUGGCUCCACAAAUUCAAUUGGAGGGAAAUUCAAAUUUCUCUCCAAUUUUGUGUGACACUUAGACUAUAAACAGAGGACAUGUUUGUGUAUUUUUUGAACUUUGAUCAUUUGAGAAUUACACUUCAAAGUUCAGACCUCAUUUGAGGCACAAAAUUUCAUGUCCCUUCUCUCCCUCUCCCUCCACUCAUCUUCUCCUACCUUCGAGCUCUUAUCCAUGACUUCCUAUGGUGGUGAGCUUCUUCUUGACUCAUCUUUUCCUUGAGAUGACAUCUUCAAUCAUCUUUCUUCCUUCUCCAUUUCCCUGCCAUUCAUCUUCAAGAAGCAAAUGAUUCCAUUGAUGAAUUUAACAGCCAAAUAUAACCAAGGAUAAUUUCUAGACCAUUGACCUAGAAAGCUUAUACACAACUUGACACAGAUACGAUACGACACAAAGAUAGGAUUAAUGUAGAAGGAAGAAAGAUGAUUGUGAAAAUAGCAAAAUGUUACAAUUUGUCAUAUGGUUAUAAUAUUGCCAUUUGUAUUGGUAUAACAGUUUAAAAAACAAAUGUCAAACAAAUGUAAAAUACAGCUAACAGUAUUAGUGAAAGUUAUUGUAAAAUGUAGUGUCAAACUUAAAUAUGCAUCCACAACUGUUAUUUUGAAGUGUGCUUAUAUGCUUCCUUUGCACUGACCAUCCUUCUCUUAAUCAUUCUUUAAAAGAAAGCAGAGAAACAACUACUACUAGAACAAAAUAUCAAUAUCACAAAGAGCAAGUUUCCAACAUGAUCAACAGGACCACAUGGAUAAGCAAAUUUUCAAAUUGAGUUCAAUAUUACAUAAAAGAUUAUAACAAUACAAAGUUCUCCAUUGUAGUGUUUAGUAUACACACCUAAAUAAAAUCAAAUUCUAUACAAUAUCUUGUAUUACUUUAAUCCACAACAAAAAUAAAACUUAAUUAUGCCUAUUCAAUUAGUGCAAAAGGUAUUCAACUAUUUUCUUUUUUAAAUGACAAUACAUGAUUCAACGAUAGCCUAAAAAUACACAUGAAGUGAAUCAAAAUUAAAUCCUCAAUUUGUUUCCCUUAAAAGAAUCGAAUAUGAUUUUCUGUUUUAGUUUUCUUUAUUUUCUACCUUAAACAUAUUAACAAUUAUAUAGAGGAAAUAACACUGACAAAAUUACAUAUAGAAGUAAAAAAGGAAUUGGAACCCUAGCAAGAAAAUAGAGAAAAACUUACAAGUUGAAAAAGAGAAGAAGAAGAAUCCUUUCAAAACCGCACUGUUUUGGAACAAGAUGACUGUGUUUUGUUCGGGUUAACGACCACGUUGUGUUGCAAAGAGUGACGACGCAACAACAAAAUAAAACGAUCGAGAAUAACAAAAUUUCUAGCAAGACAGUUACAUAUCUCACAAGUCAGAGCCCAUGUACCCUUGAGGUAAGGUUCCUCACAUUCAGUUUGCGUCAAUGUUCAGGGGGGGAGAAAAAUGAAGCAGCCACGUUUGGAGAGUUGCUGUAAGUGAAACGGUGUGUUUAAGGGAGUAAGUCUACAAUUUAAUCACAGCCACACGUUUCAUCCAACAGUCUCCCUUUGUC